AGUGAACGCUGGCGGUAGGCCUAACACAUGCAAGUCGAACGGCAGCACAGUAAGAGCUUGCUCUUACGGGUGGCGAGUGGCGGACGGGUGAGGAAUACAUCGGAAUCUACUUUUUCGUGGGGGAUAACGUAGGGAAACUUACGCUAAUACCGCAUACGACCUACGGGGGAAAGCAGGGGAUCUUUGGACCUUGCGCGAUUGAAUGAGCCGAUGUCGGAUUAGCUAGUUGGCGGGGUAAAGGCCCACCAAGGCGACGAUCCGUAGCUGGUCUGAGAGGAUGAUCAGCCACACUGGAACUGAGACACGGUCCAGACUCCUACGGGAGGCAGCAGUGGGGAAUAUUGGACAAUGGGCGCAAGCCUGAUCCAGCCAUACCGCGUGGGUGAAGAAGGCCUUCGGGUUGUAAAGCCCUUUUGUUGGGAAAGAAAAGCAGCAGGUUAAUACCCCGCUGUUCUGACGGUACCCAAAGAAUAAGCACCGGCUAACUUCGUG
RNAcentral lists this ribosomal RNA (492 nucleotides) under uncultured bacterium. RNAcentral describes it as "partial 16S ribosomal RNA". It matches the Rfam family "Bacterial small subunit ribosomal RNA", at positions 29 to 507 of the family's 1533-position model. The record is from RNAcentral.